Molecule: ribosomal RNA, 257 nt
Filed under: uncultured Gardnerella sp.
Lineage: Bacteria; Bacillati; Actinomycetota; Actinomycetes; Bifidobacteriales; Bifidobacteriaceae
Description: partial 16S ribosomal RNA
Rfam family: Bacterial small subunit ribosomal RNA
Source: RNAcentral
CGAACGGGUGAGUAAUGCGUGACCAACCUGCCCCAUGCUCCAGAAUAGCUCUUGGAAACGGGUGGUAAUGCUGGAUGCUCCAACUUGACGCAUGUCUUGUUGGGAAAGUGUUUAGUGGCAUGGGAUGGGGUCGCGUCCUAUCAGCUUGUAGGUCGGGGUAAUGGCCCACCUAGGCUUCGACGGGUAGCCGGCCUGAGAGGGCGGACGGCCACAUUGGGACUGAGAUACGGCCCAGACUCCUACGGGAGGCAGCAGCA